Molecule: long non-coding RNA, 982 nt
Organism: Nicotiana tabacum (common tobacco)
Lineage: Eukaryota; Viridiplantae; Streptophyta; Magnoliopsida; Solanales; Solanaceae
Source: RefSeq, a predicted model, not a curated record
CUAAUUUCAAGAAACCUAGAGAGCCACACACCCUCCUCUCCAAGAUCCAGCCGCCCAACCCUCUCUUAAGCCGCCGCCGCCGGUGGUGCUCCAAACACCACCCAACUUACGCCAAUCUCUUUCUCUCUUCACCCUCUCGCCGAUUCCAAGCCUCGAAUCCUCGAAAACCCCUUCUAACUCUCAGCCGCCCCACUCCAUCUUCACCCCAUUCAACCACUUUAAAAUCUUAUCUCCUUCACUGUACCACCACUUAGCUCCACUAUUACAAUCAAGAAUUGAAAGCAUCUUUUACACAUUUUGACAAGCACCUAGCAGUCAUGUAAAAGCCUUGGCCGCCGAACUCCACUCCUCUUUCCACUUUCACCUUCUACACAAAGAACGUCCCUCCCCUCCAUUAUUCUGCUAUAUGAGCUUCUAUAUUCCAACUCUAGAUAUUACCAUUGCAGUAUUACUAAGGAUUUGAGAUGAUAAUCAUAGAUAAGAUUUUCAAAAUUGCACCGCCACAGUUAAGGUUGUUCGAGUUGCGCUCGAUUCUAGUUAAAAAGCAAGGUCGUCGUUCAAGCUUUACAACGAAGUUUCCGUUCUUGGCUCGACAGUUCCGGUCCCAUGUGAUUUCAGUCGAGGAUUUCCGGUCAAGUUCUGGCCUCGGUUCCUAUUCACGCACUGCUACUGUAAUCAGAUGACUCAUUUUGAGGUAUAGAUCCAUUUGCCGGAGAUUGAGCAUGACAGACGCCCCAGGACCAUCCAGUCAGGACCACUGCAUUCAUGAGUUGCUUGAGGAUACUUUUAUGUUUUGAGUCUGUCAUUCAUGUUGCCUUUUAUUUUUAGUCUUGUACAGUAGUAUCGAAUCUUUUAGGUGGUGUCAGAGUCUGUCCUAGUCUAGUUGAGUUUGUCGAGUCUUUUGUUAUCGUAUUUCCUAUUUUGUAUGUGAAAACCAAAAAGAGUUAUAAAUGAAAAAUUCAAAAAGAUUUUAUUUUUAGUA